Molecule: ribosomal RNA, 279 nt
Filed under: uncultured bacterium
Lineage: Bacteria
Description: partial 16S ribosomal RNA
Rfam family: Bacterial small subunit ribosomal RNA
Source: RNAcentral
UGCCAGCCGCCGCGGUAAUACAGAGGGUGCAAGCGUUAAUCGGAAUUAUUGGGCGUAAAGCGCGCGUAGGUGGUUUGUUAAGUCGGAUGUGAAAGCCCUGGGCUCAACCUGGGAACUGCAUUCGAUACUGGCGAACUAGAGUAUGGUAGAGGGAAGUGGAAUUUCCGGUGUAGCGGUGAAAUGCGUAGAUAUCGGAAGGAACACCAGUGGCGAAGGCGACUUCCUGGCCCAAUACUGACACUGAGGCGCGAAAGCUAGGGUAGCAAACGGGAUUAGAUA